UUUGUUAAAGCCAAACUGUAGAGGCUUAUUAUUGUUAAUAAUAGAAUUGACUAAAGUCUAGCUAGG
This 66-nucleotide transfer RNA is filed under the name Anaticola crassicornis (slender duck louse). RNAcentral's name for it is "tRNA-Asn". Lineage: Eukaryota; Metazoa; Arthropoda; Insecta; Psocodea; Philopteridae. The record is from RNAcentral.